AUUGAACGCUGGCGGCAGGCCUAACACAUGCAAGUCGAGCGGAAACGACUUAACUGAACCUUCGGGGAACGUUAAGGGCGUCGAGCGGCGGACGGGUGAGUAAUGCCUAGGAAAUUGCCCUGAUGUGGGGGAUAACCAUUGGAAACGAUGGCUAAUACCGCAUAAUGCCUACGGGCCAAAGAGGGGGACCUUCGGGCCUCUCGCGUCAGGAUAAGCCCAGGUGAGAUUAGCUAGUUGGUGAGGUAAGAGCUCACCAAGGCGACGAUCUCUAGCUGGUCUGAGAGGAUGAUCAGCCACACUGGAACUGAGACACGGUCCAGACUCCUACGGGAGGCAGCAGUGGGGAAUAUUGCACAAUGGGGGAAACCCUGAUGCAGCCAUGCCGCGUGUAUGAAGAAGGCCUUCGGGUUGUAAAGUACUUUCAGUUGUGAGG
This 433-nucleotide ribosomal RNA is filed under the name uncultured bacterium. RNAcentral's name for it is "bacterial SSU rRNA". It matches the Rfam family "Bacterial small subunit ribosomal RNA", at positions 30 to 447 of the family's 1533-position model. The record is from RNAcentral.